RNAcentral lists this ribosomal RNA (446 nucleotides) under uncultured organism. Its description in RNAcentral is "partial 16S ribosomal RNA". It matches the Rfam family "Bacterial small subunit ribosomal RNA", at positions 334 to 797 of the family's 1533-position model. The record is from RNAcentral.
CACUCCUGCGGGAGGCAGCAGUGGGGAAUAUUGGACAAUGGGCGCAAGCCUGAUCCAGCCAUGCCGCGUGAGUGAUGAAGGCCCUAGGGUUGUAAAGCUCUUUUGUGCGGGAAGAUAAUGACGGUACCGCAAGAAUAAGCCCCGGCUAACUUCGUGCCAGCAGCCGCGGUAAUACGAAGGGGGCUAGGGUUGCUCGGAAUCACUGGGCGUAAAGGGUGCGUAGGCGGGUCUUUAAGUCAGGGGUGAAAUCCUGGAGCUCAACUCCAGAACUGCCUUUGAUACUGAAGAUCUUGAGUUCGGGAGAGGUGAGUGGAACUGCGAGUGUAGAGGUGAAAUUCGUAGAUAUUCGCAAGAACACCAGUGGCGAAGGCGGCUCACUGGCCCGAUACUGACGCUGAGGCACGAAAGCGUGGGGAGCAAACAGGAUUAGAUACCCGAGUAGUCCC